This 148-nucleotide non-coding RNA is filed under the name Nomascus leucogenys (northern white-cheeked gibbon). Lineage: Eukaryota; Metazoa; Chordata; Mammalia; Primates; Hylobatidae. The record is from Rfam by way of RNAcentral.
GCCGGGCGUGGUAGCGCGCGCCUGUAAUCCCAGCUACUCAGGAGGCUGAGGCAGGAGAAUCGCUUGAACCCGGGAGGCGGAGGUUGCAGUGAGCCGAGAUCGCGCCACUGCACUCCAGCCUGGGCGACAGAGCGAGACUCCGUCUCAG